GAUCAGAGUCACAUCACAGGCAGUUGGAUGCAUGGCUGCCCUGCUGGCCCAGUGUGGCUGCCCCAACAAAACUGGAGGCCCAGCACACGGGAGAACCCCAAAGCCUGAAGCAGGGCAGCUGCCAGUCAUCCAGAGGCCAACUGGAGGCAGGAAGUGUGGUCCUUGGUCCUAGAGGCCACCACCUGAGCCCUGCAAGUGCCCACAUGACUGCGCGCUCUCAGGCCGGCCAUUAGGCGCAUGACACACGACCCCAGGACCCCAUGUCCUGGCCGCCCUUCACACUGGAGCUGGGCUAUGAACGGAGCACCUUCUGCAGCCGGAGCUGGGGAGUCAGAAGCCAACAGGCCACGUUACAGCUCCUGUUGUCCCCGAAUUCAUAGUGUGUGGAGCAGAGACAAUAAAUAAACCCAGGAGAAAA
This is a non-coding RNA of Callorhinus ursinus (northern fur seal), 418 nucleotides long. Lineage: Eukaryota; Metazoa; Chordata; Mammalia; Carnivora; Otariidae. The record is from RefSeq and is a predicted model, not a curated record.